RNAcentral lists this ribosomal RNA (327 nucleotides) under uncultured eukaryote. RNAcentral describes it as "partial 18S ribosomal RNA". It matches the Rfam family "Eukaryotic small subunit ribosomal RNA", at positions 1470 to 1796 of the family's 1831-position model. The record is from RNAcentral.
CCCCUAGAUGUUCUGGGCCGCACGCGCGCUACACUGAACAGUUCAACAAGUCUUAACCUUGGCCGAUAGGUCUGGGUAAUCUUUGAACGCUGUUCGUGAUUGGGAUAGACCAUUGCAAUUAUUAAUCUUCAACGAGGAAUGCCUAGUAAGCGCAAGUCAUCAGCUUGCGUUGAUUACGUCCCUGCCCUUUGUACACACCGCCCGUCGCUCCUACCGAUUGAAUGGUCCGGUGAAGCGUUCGGACCGUGGCCUUUGGACGGUUCGCCGUCUGUUGGCUGCGGGAAGUUCGUUAAACCUUAUCAUUUAGAGGAAGGAGAANUCGUANCA